GGGGAACCAGGACUUUUACUGUGAAAAAAUUAGAGUGCUCCAGGCAGGCCUAUGCUCGAAUACAUUAGCAUGGAAUAAUAGAAUAGGACGUGUGGUUCUAUUUUGUUGGUUUCUAGGACCGCCGUAAUGAUUAAUAGGGACAGUCGGGGGCAUCAGUAUUCAAUUGUCAGAGGUGAAAUUCUUGGAUUUAUUGAAGACUAACUACUGCGAAAGCAUUUGCCAAGGAUGUUUUCAUUAAUCAGGAACGAAAGUUAGGGGAUCGAAGACGAUCAGAUACCGUCGUAGUCUUAACCAUAAACUAUGCCGACUAGGGAUCGGACGGUGUUAUUUUUUGACCCGUUCGGCACCUUACGAGAAAUCAAAGUGCUUGGGCUCCAGGGGGAGUAUGGUCGCAAGGCUGAAACUUAAAGAAAUUGACGGAAGGGCACCACCAGGGGUGGAGCCUGCGGCUUAAUUUGACUCAACACGGGGAAACUCACCAGGUCCAGACACAAUGAGGAUUGACAGAUUGAGAGCUCUUUCUUGAUUUUGUGGGUGGUGGUGCAUGGCCGUUCUUAGUUGGUGGAGUGAUUUGUCUGCUUAAUUGCGAUAACGAACGAGACCU
RNAcentral lists this ribosomal RNA (604 nucleotides) under uncultured Hypocreales. RNAcentral describes it as "SSU rRNA". It matches the Rfam family "Eukaryotic small subunit ribosomal RNA", at positions 737 to 1343 of the family's 1831-position model. Lineage: Eukaryota; Fungi; Ascomycota; Sordariomycetes; Hypocreales. The record is from RNAcentral.